This is a long non-coding RNA of Centruroides sculpturatus (bark scorpion), 1058 nucleotides long. RefSeq lists it as uncharacterized. The record is from RefSeq and is a predicted model, not a curated record. Lineage: Eukaryota; Metazoa; Arthropoda; Arachnida; Scorpiones; Buthidae. The transcript is spliced from 3 exons.
UGAGGUGCAAGUUCAAACUUUAAACUUGUACGGCAAGCAGAAGUACACGUUUGACAUUUCAAGUCCAAGUAAAAAUUGUUGAGGCACCCGUUCACAACAUCACAUGACUCAGUGAACGUCGCGCAUUGACUCACAGGAAAUAAGUUGAAAAAAAUGGCGGAAACAUUUUGCAUGGAGGAUUACCAGCAAAGGUAAAUAAACAAAUUAAACUGUUUAAAAGAAUUUAUAGGAUGUUUAAUAACACUAAAUAAUAAUUUUUUUUACUAUAAUUAGCGUCAUGUUUACUCUCCGAGAAACAUUAGGAAAGUUCCAAUGCGUUUUUCUUGUUAUCACGACACACUUCUGUUGAGAGAAGUAGUGGCUGUAAAUCCCUAUGCGUAUGAAAAUCCAAAAGGUCCUUGGAAAAGUAUAUCUGAAAAUUUACGGACAUAUUACACUGUGGACAGUAGAAGAUGCCGGGAAAGAACAACUUGAUGAUAUUAAUUAAUUCCAGUUAACUGCAUUUGACAAUAAUUUCAUUUGUAUACUUAUUGGAGACAUGUUUUUAUUGUUAUAAUUGAAUGAUCAAGCCAGUUUGCAAAGAUCUGGAACAGAAGAGGAAUUUACAGAACGUAAUUAACUUCUACAAGAAAUAAAAGAGUUAAAAUAUGAGGCCCAGAUAACAUCUGAGAAAUCACAACCACAAGCCAUUGCUGGGCAGCAAGUCAGGGAUGCAGCUAUGACAUCUUUAAGCGUAUCAUCUCCUAAGUUUCCAUCUGAUGAAGAUACCAAUGUCACAAAAAAAAGAAAACAAAACUUUCUUGUCUCAUACUUACAAAGCAAACAAGACCAAGAGCAUCAGUUGAAACAAGAAGAAUUAAAUUUAAAUAAAGAACGACUGAAACUGGAACAAGAAAAAUUAGAUUUGGAAAAAGCAAAAUUUGAUUUAGAGAGAAGAGAGAGAGAGAAGCAAGACUGAACCAAGAUAGAGAGGAAAGAAGAGUGUUUUUAGAAAAAUUUAGAGAGAAAAGAAAGAGAAGCGUUAUUAGAAAUACUUUUGAAAACUUUGAAGAAAAAUU